RNAcentral lists this ribosomal RNA (235 nucleotides) under uncultured bacterium. Its description in RNAcentral is "partial 16S ribosomal RNA". It matches the Rfam family "Bacterial small subunit ribosomal RNA", at positions 77 to 334 of the family's 1533-position model. The record is from RNAcentral.
CCUUCGGGCGUCAGCGGCAGACGGGUGAGUAACACGUGGGAACGUACCCUUCGGUUCGGAAUAAGCCAGGGAAACUUGGUCUAAUACCGGAUACGCCCUUACGGGGAAAGAUUUAUUGCCGAAGGAUCGGCCCGCGUCUGAUUAGCUAGUUGGUGAGGUAACGGCUCACCAAGGCGACGAUCAGUAGCUGGUCUGAGAGGAUGAUCAGCCACACUGGGACUGAGACACGGCCCAG